RNAcentral lists this ribosomal RNA (405 nucleotides) under uncultured bacterium. RNAcentral's name for it is "bacterial SSU rRNA". It matches the Rfam family "Bacterial small subunit ribosomal RNA", at positions 355 to 776 of the family's 1533-position model. The record is from RNAcentral.
UGGGGAAUCUUGCGCAAUGGGCGAAAGCCUGACGCAGCAACGCCGCGUGGGGGAUGAAGGCUCUCGGGUUGUAAACCCCUUUCAGCAGGGACGAAUCAAGACGGUACCUGCAGAAGAAGCCCCGGCUAACUACGUGCCAGCAGCCGCGGUAACACGUAGGGGGCAAGCGUUGUCCGGAUUUAUUGGGCGUAAAGAGCUCGUAGGCGGCUGAGUAAGUCGGGUGUUAAAUCCCCAGGCUCAACCUGGGACACCACCCGUUACUGCUCUGGCUAGAGUCCGGUAGGGGAGCGUGGAAUUCCUGGUGUAGCGGUGAAAUGCGCAGAUAUCAGGAGGAACACCAGCGGCGAAGGCGGCGCUCUGGGCCGGUACUGACGCUGAGGAGCGAAAGCGUGGGUAGCAAACAGG